RNAcentral lists this ribosomal RNA (220 nucleotides) under uncultured bacterium. RNAcentral describes it as "partial 16S ribosomal RNA". It matches the Rfam family "Bacterial small subunit ribosomal RNA", at positions 111 to 334 of the family's 1533-position model. The record is from RNAcentral.
UAAUGCUUGGGAAUCUGGCUUAUGGAGGGGGAUAACUACGGGAAACUGUAGCUAAUACCGCGUAGUAUCGAGAGAUGAAAGUGCGGGACCGCAAGGCCGCAUGCCAUGAGAUGAGCCCAAGUGGGAUUAGGUAGUUGGUGGGGUAAAGGCCUACCAAGCCUGCGAUCUCUAGCUGGUCUGAGAGGAUGGCCAGCCACACUGGAACUGAGACACGGUCCAA